CAGGACGAACGCUGGCGGCGUGCUUAACACAUGCAAGUCGAACGAUGAUGCCCAGCUUGCUGGGUGGAUUAGUGGCGAACGGGUGAGUAACACGUGAGUAACCUGCCCCUGACUCUGGGAUAAGCGUUGGAAACGACGUCUAAUACUGGAUAUGAUCACUGGCCGCAUGGUCUGGUGGUGGAAAGAUUUUUUGGUUGGGGAUGGACUCGCGGCCUAUCAGCUUGUUGGUGAGGUAAUGGCUCACCAAGGCGACGACGGGUAGCCGGCCUGAGAGGGUGACCGGCCACACUGGGNCUGAGACACGGCCCAGACUCCUACGGGAGGCAGCAGUGGGGAAUAUUGCACAAUGGGCGAAAGCCUGAUGCAGCAACGCCGCGUGAGGGAUGACGGCCUUCGGGUUGUAAACCUCUUUUAGUAGGGAAGAAGCGAAAGUGACGGUACCUGCAGAAAAAGCACCGGCUAACUACGUGCCAGC
Molecule: ribosomal RNA, 475 nt
Filed under: Curtobacterium sp.
Lineage: Bacteria; Bacillati; Actinomycetota; Actinomycetes; Micrococcales; Microbacteriaceae
Description: bacterial SSU rRNA
Rfam family: Bacterial small subunit ribosomal RNA
Source: RNAcentral